UCUCCGUAGGUGAACCUGCGGAGGGAUCAUUACAGAGUUCUCGCCCUCACGGGUAGCUCUCCCACCCAAUGUUAUCAUUACCACUGUUUCUUUGGCGGGCCGCCGGGCCCUGCUCGGCCGCCGGCUCCGGCUGGCGCCCGCCCGCCAGCGGCCCUUUAAACCCUGAAUGUCAGUGUCGUGUGAGUACUAUACAAUAGUUAAAACUUUCAACAACGGAUCUCUUGGUUCUG
RNAcentral lists this unclassified non-coding RNA (230 nucleotides) under plant metagenome. Its description in RNAcentral is "partial contains small subunit ribosomal RNA, internal transcribed spacer 1, and 5.8S ribosomal RNA". The record is from RNAcentral.